RNAcentral lists this ribosomal RNA (575 nucleotides) under uncultured bacterium. RNAcentral's name for it is "partial 16S ribosomal RNA". It matches the Rfam family "Bacterial small subunit ribosomal RNA", at positions 355 to 923 of the family's 1533-position model. The record is from RNAcentral.
UGGGGAAUUUUGGACAAUGGGCGAAAGCCUGAUCCAGCAAUGCCGCGUGUGUGAAGAAGGCCUUCGGGUUGUAAAGCACUUUUGUCCGGAAAGAAAUCCUUGGCUCUAAUACAGUCGGGGGAUGACGGUACCGGAAGAAUAAGCACCGGCUAACUACGUGCCAGCAGCCGCGGUAAUACGUAGGGUGCAAGCGUUAAUCGGAAUUACUGGGCGUAAAGCGUGCGCAGGCGGUUUGCUAAGACCGAUGUGAAAUCCCCGGGCUCAACCUGGGAACUGCAUUGGUGACUGCAAGGCUAGAGUAUGGCAGAGGGGGGUAGAAUUCCACGUGUAGCAGUGAAAUGCGUAGAGAUGUGGAGGAAUACCGAUGGCGAAGGCAGCCCCCUGGGCCAAUACUGACGCUCAUGCACGAAAGCGUGGGGAGCAAACAGGAUUAGAUACCCUGGUAGUCCACGCCCUAAACGAUGUCAACUAGUUGUUGGGGAUUCAUUUCCUUAGUAACGUAGCUAACGCGUGAAGUUGACCGCCUGGGGAGUACGGUCGCAAGAUUAAAACUCAAAGGAAUUGACGGGGUCAUA